RNAcentral lists this ribosomal RNA (251 nucleotides) under uncultured Eubacteriales bacterium. Its description in RNAcentral is "uncultured Clostridiales bacterium partial 16S ribosomal RNA". It matches the Rfam family "Bacterial small subunit ribosomal RNA", at positions 83 to 334 of the family's 1533-position model. Lineage: Bacteria; Bacillati; Bacillota; Clostridia; Eubacteriales. The record is from RNAcentral.
AAAAGUGGAUUAGCGGCGGACGGGUGAGUAACACGUGAGUAACCUGCCUUAGACAUUGGGAUAGCCUCGGGAAACCGGGAUUAAUACCAAGUAAAAUCAUAAUGACACAUGUCAUAACGAUCAAAACUCCGGUGGUCUAAGAUGGACUCGCGUCCCAUUAGCUAGUUGGUAGAGUAAAAGCCUACCAAGGCGACGAUGGGUAGCCGGCCUGAGAGGGUGAACGGCCACAUUGGAACUGAGAAACGGUCCAA